This 355-nucleotide ribosomal RNA is filed under the name uncultured bacterium. Its description in RNAcentral is "partial 16S ribosomal RNA". It matches the Rfam family "Bacterial small subunit ribosomal RNA", at positions 338 to 690 of the family's 1533-position model. The record is from RNAcentral.
CCUACUGUGUGCAGCAGUGAGGAAUAUUGGUCAAUGGGCGCGAGCCUGAACCAGCCAAGUCGCGUGAGGGAAGACGGCCCUACGGGUUGUAAACCUCUUUUGCCGGGGAGCAACGGGCGCCACGUGUGGCGCCACUGAGAGUACCCGGAGAAAAAGCAUCGGCUAACUCCUUGCCAGCAGCCGCGGUAAUAAGGAGGAUGCGAGCGUUAUCCGGAUUUAUUGGGUUUAAAGGGUUCGUAGGCGGAGCGUUAAGUCAGUGGUCAAAUUGUGGGGUUCAACCCCUUCCCGCCAUUGAAACUGGCGCUCUUGAGGGGAAGAGAAGUAUGCGGAAUUCGUGGUGUAGCGGUGAAAUGCA